RNAcentral lists this non-coding RNA (261 nucleotides) under Hydrogenophaga sp. Lineage: Bacteria; Pseudomonadati; Pseudomonadota; Betaproteobacteria; Burkholderiales; Comamonadaceae. The record is from RNAcentral.
CUUAGAAUCGCCGGCGUUGGUGCUCGCGGCGUGGUUCACACGCCGCGGUUAAACGGGAAGCAGGAGGGCGCGCUGCCAGCGGCGGCGAACCUAACCUGCGCUGCCCCCGCAACGGUAAGCAGACGAGAUGGCCGGCGGCUCCAAGCCGCCGGAUGCUCUGCCCCCCUCACACCGCCACUGGCCGGUGCCUCGUGCACCGGCUGGGAAGGCGAGGGGGGUUGGUCUGUCAGCCCGGAUACCGGCCAGCACGGUGGUGGUGCG